CUCAGAUUGAACGCUGGCGGCGUGCUUAACACAUGCAAGUCGAGCGGUAACGCGGGAGCAAUCCUGGCGACGAGCGGCGAACGGGUGAGUAAUGCUUCGGAAUCUACCCACGGGUGGGGAAUAACCAAUCGAAAGGUUGGCUAAUACCGCAUACGUCCUACGGGGGAAAGCGGGGGAUCGUAAGACCUCGCGCCGGUGGAUGAGCCGAAGUCGGAUUAGCUAGUUGGUAGGGUAACGGCCUACCAAGGCGACGAUCCGUAGCUGGUCUGAGAGGACGACCAGCCACACUGGGACUGAGACACGGCCCAGACUCCUACGGGAGGCAGCAGUGGGGAAUAUUGGACAAUGGGGGAAACCCUGAUCCAGCGACGCCGCGUGUGUGAAGAAGGCCUGCGGGUUGUAAAGCACUCUUAGUGGGGAUGAAAAGCCUGACGUUAACACCGUCGGGUCUUGACCUAACCUACAGAAAAAGCACCGGCUAACUCUGUGCCAGCAGCCGCGGUAAUACAGAGGGUGCGAGCGUUAAUCGGAAUUACUGGGCGUAAGCGUGCGUAGACGGUCUGCAAGUCGGAUGUGAAGCCCCGGCUCACCUGGGAAUCGCAUUCGAGACUGUAUGGCCGGGUGCGGAAGAGGGAAGCGGAAUUCCGGUGUACGGUGAAUGCGUACAUAUC
RNAcentral lists this ribosomal RNA (671 nucleotides) under uncultured bacterium. RNAcentral describes it as "bacterial SSU rRNA". It matches the Rfam family "Bacterial small subunit ribosomal RNA", at positions 23 to 698 of the family's 1533-position model. The record is from RNAcentral.